This 78-nucleotide microRNA precursor is filed under the name Schistosoma margrebowiei. RNAcentral's name for it is "mir-3492 microRNA precursor family". It matches the Rfam family "mir-3492 microRNA precursor family". Lineage: Eukaryota; Metazoa; Platyhelminthes; Trematoda; Strigeidida; Schistosomatidae. The record is from Rfam by way of RNAcentral.
AGCUUCUUGAAUCCGUGUCGAGAUUUCGUCAGGCACCAGGUCAUCAAUACUGAUGAGACCCCAAAGAUAAGUCGGGUG